GCCUGUGAAAUGAAUCUAAGUUCUCUCUUAAUCUUUUUUCCCCCCCGGACACAACCCUAACCAUCAUGUGAUAGAUCAAGAAUAAUUUAAAGGGGGUACAGCCCCUUUAAAAAAGAACACAACCUCCUCUAGCGGAUAACUGCCUGACUAUCCCCAGACUGUAGGCCCUCAAGCAGCCACCAACAAAGAAUGCGUCAAAGCUCUACCCUCAAAAAAUCUAAAAACCAACAGGACUCCCUUAUCCAUAACAGGCCAACCUAUAACAAUAGGAGAAUUAAUGCUAAAAUGAGUAAUCGGGGGCCACCCUCUAGAGCGCAAGCUUACAUCACCACAUUAUUAACAGACCAUAAACCAAUACUCCCAAUCCAACAAGCCGAGUAUUAAAUCUGUCCUGUUAGCCCAACUCAGGAGCGCCCAUUAGAAAGAUUCAAAUCUGCAAAAGGAACUAGGCAAUCUCAAGGCCCGACUGUUUACCAAAAACAUAGCCUUCAGCCAGCCAAGUAUUGAAGGUGAUGCCUGCCCAGUGACACUUCUGUUUAACGGCCGCGGUAUCCUAACCGUGCGAAGGUAGCGCAAUCAAUUGUCCCAUAAAUCGAGACUUGUAUGAAUGGCUAAACGAGGUCUUAACUGUCUCUUGCAGACAAUCAAUGAAAUUGAUCUUCCUGUGCAAAAGCAGGAAUAAGCCCAUAAGACGAGAAGACCCUGUGGAACUUGAAAAUCAGCGACCACCACACACAACCCAAAACCUACUAGGCCCACGAUCCAAACAAAACGCUGGUCCGCAUUUUUCGGUUGGGGCGACCUUGGAGAAAAGCAAAUCCUCCAAAAAUAAGAUCCUACCUCUUAACCAAGAGUAACCCCUCAACGUGCUAACAGCAACCAGACCCAAUACAAUUGACCAAUGGACCAAGCUACCCCAGGGAUAACAGCGCAAUCCCCUCCAAGAGCCCAUAUCGACGAGGGGGUUUACGACCUCGAUGUUGGAUCAGGACAUCCUAAUGGUGCAGCCGCUAUUUAAGGGUUCGUUUGUUCAACGAUUAACAGUCCUACGUGAUCUGAGUUCAGACCGGAGUAAU
This 1076-nucleotide ribosomal RNA is filed under the name Eudyptula minor (Little blue penguin). RNAcentral's name for it is "partial 16S ribosomal RNA". It matches the Rfam family "Bacterial large subunit ribosomal RNA", at positions 855 to 2625 of the family's 2925-position model. The record is from RNAcentral. Lineage: Eukaryota; Metazoa; Chordata; Aves; Sphenisciformes; Spheniscidae.